Molecule: ribosomal RNA, 496 nt
Filed under: uncultured bacterium
Lineage: Bacteria
Description: partial 16S ribosomal RNA
Rfam family: Bacterial small subunit ribosomal RNA
Source: RNAcentral
GAUGAACGCUGGCGGCGUGCCUAAUACAUGCAAGUCGAGCGAACAGACGGGGAGCUUGCUCCUCUGACGUUAGCGGCGGACGGGUGAGUAACACGUGGAUAACCUACUUAUAAGACUGGGAUAACUUCGGGAAACCGGAGCUAAUACCGGAUAACAUGUUGAACCGCAUGGUUCAACAGUGAAAGACGGUCUUGCUGUCACUUAUAGAUGGAUCCGCGCCGCAUUAGCUAGUUGGUAAGGUAACGGCUUACCAAGGCAACGAUGCGUAGCCGACCUGAGAGGGUGAUCGGCCACACUGGACCUGAGACACGGUCCAGACUCCUACGGGAGGCAGCAGUAGGGAAUCUUCCGCAAUGGGCGAAAGCCUGACGGAGCAACGCCGCGUGAGUGAUGAAGGUCUUCGGAUCGUAAAACUCUGUUAUUAGGGAAGAACAAAUGUGUAAGUAACUAUGCACGUCUUGACGGUACCUAAUCAGAAAGCCACGGCUAACUACGU